UAAUUGUUAAAUGGUUAAGAUAUAAUGUAACAUUUUUCUCUGAUUAAAAAAGUAAUGUAAGCUUAUUUUAAUAAAUUGGGAAAAUACAGAAACGUGCUGGAAUCACCUGGAACUCAUCACUCAGCUAUAAUGACCAUUAUUUAAAGUAUUUAAUUUUUUUGUGCCUGUACAGAAUCAUUGUGUGUGAUUAUACAUAUAUUAUGUAAUAUUUAAUUCUGAAUUCUACCGUUUACCCCUUAACAUUGUUGUACAAAUAUUUUCCCCAUGUUAUUGAAUAUUCUUGGACUACAGUAGGAAUGGUUAAGGCUUUGAUUGGUCAAUUAAUAAAAUUAUUUGAUCCUUGGCAUGGCAAGAUGUUUGGUGCUUCCACGUGAACACUGCAUAAAAGAUUCUCUUCUUGUUGUUUAUUAAAAAUAAAGAUAUCUCUAUUUCCUCCGCAGGGUGAUAGCUGUUUGAAGGCAAUUAGGAUCUGUAUGCUCUGUAUUAAGAAAAAUAUUGUCAGCUGUCUGGUGCUCCCUUUUCUGUUUUUAAAAUUUAUGUCUUGUACAUUUUCUUUUUUCUCCUGGUAGAUCAACAUCAUAGAAGUAAUUAAACCUCAGUAAGAAAGGUAAUUCCUACAAAUCUGGAGGGUUUAAUUCAAGCUGGUGCUGAAUAUAAAUGCAAUGUUUUACAGACUGCAAAUCAUCCCUGAUACUCACAUAUAUCCUUUCUUUCCAGGGCACCAGCUCCACAAUGGCCAUCACUGAGCACAUAGAGGAGUGAAAUUUAAGGGGGCAGAGUGGAGCGUUCAUAGAUUCGAGUUCAACAUGAUCGAAGAUGGAAGGUAGAAGGCAGAAGGCAUGUGUGAUCCAUUUACUUUGGACAACAAGUACAUGGUCUACAAGGUGUCCACAUUGGCCUCUGGGAACCACGGACAGGGCCAAUGUAUAAUCACGGAGUUGUGCAAGGAUCAGCAUCCCAUGUUUACACUGACACUGCAAGUGAACAGAUAAAGAGGUUGAGAAGUGAAGAGAUGUCAUCCUGCUCAUCAGCAAUGGCAAGUGCUCAUUCCCAGGAUUUCUCAUUAGGUGAGAGGUUACUAUCCUCCUUUCCACUGUUGUCUUGUUCCUGA
This 1111-nucleotide long non-coding RNA is filed under the name Macaca mulatta (Rhesus monkey). RNAcentral's name for it is "lncRNA (ENSMMUG00000064897.1)". Lineage: Eukaryota; Metazoa; Chordata; Mammalia; Primates; Cercopithecidae. The record is from RNAcentral.